RNAcentral lists this ribosomal RNA (253 nucleotides) under uncultured bacterium. RNAcentral's name for it is "partial 16S ribosomal RNA". It matches the Rfam family "Bacterial small subunit ribosomal RNA", at positions 524 to 776 of the family's 1533-position model. The record is from RNAcentral.
UACGUAGGGGGCAAGCGUUGUCCGGAUUUAUUGGGCGUAAAGAGCGUGUAGGCGGCCUGAAAGGUCAGCUGUGAAAACUCGGGGCUCAACCCCGAGACGUCGGUUGAAACCAUCUGGCUAGAGUCCGGAAGAGGAGAGUGGAAUUCCUGGUGUAGCGGUGAAAUGCGCAGAUAUCAGGAAGAACACCCGUGGCUAAGGCGGCUCUCUAGUACGGUACUGACGCUGAGACGCGAAAGCGUGGGGAGCGAACAGG